RNAcentral lists this ribosomal RNA (465 nucleotides) under uncultured bacterium. RNAcentral describes it as "partial 16S ribosomal RNA". It matches the Rfam family "Bacterial small subunit ribosomal RNA", at positions 29 to 507 of the family's 1533-position model. The record is from RNAcentral.
AGUGAACGCUGGCGGCGUGCUUAAUACAUGCAAGUCGAACGAUGAAGCUUCUAGCUUGCUAGAAGUGGAUUAGUGGCGCACGGGUGAGUAAUAUAUAGUUAAUCUGCCUUGCACUGAGGAACAACAGUUGGAAACGAUUGCUAAUACCUCAUACUCCAACUUAGCAUAAGUUAAGUUGGGAAAGUCUUUUCGGUGCAAGAUGAGACUAUAUCGUAUCAGCUAGUUGGUAAGGUAAUGGCUUACCAAGGCUAUGACGCGUAACUGGUCUGCGAGGAUGAUCAGUCACAUUGGAACUGAGACACGGUCCAAACUCCUACGGGAGGCAGCAGUAAGGAAUAUUGUGCAAUGGGGGAAACCCUGACGCAGCAACGCCGCGUGGAGGAUGACACUUUUCGGAGCGUAAACUCCUUUUGUUAGGGAAGAAUAAUGACGGUACCUAAAGAAUAAGCACCGGCUAACUCCGUG